CCCUUCGGGACCUGCCGCUUAGGGAUAGGCUCGCGUCCUAUCAGCUAAUUGGUGAGGUAAUGGCUCACCAAGGCUUAUGACGGGUAGCUGGACUGAGAGGUUGACCAGCCACACUGGGACUGAGACACUGCCCAGACUCCUACGGGAGGCUGCAGUCGAGAAUAUUCAGCAAUGGGCGAAAGCCUGACUGAGCGACGCCGCGUGCAGGAUGAAGGUUUUCGGAUUGUAAACUGCUUUUGUCAGGAAAGAAACCUCUGCAUUUAAUAGAUGCAGGGCUGACGGUACCUGACGAAUAAGCCACGGCCAACUCCGUGCCAGCAGCCGCGGUAAUACGGAGGUGGCAAGCGUUACUCGGAAUUAUUGGGUGUAAAGGGUAGGUAGGCGGUUUAUUAAGUGAGGGGUGAAAUCCUGCGGCUCAAUCGCAGAAUUGCCUUUCAAACUGGUAGACUUGAGGCCUGAAGGGGGAAACGGAAUUAGCAGUGUAAGGGUGAAAUCUGUAGAUAUUGCUAAGAACAUCAGCAGCGAAGGCGGUUUCCUGGUCAGGUUCUGACGCUGAGCUACGAAAGCUAGGGGAGCAAACAGGAUUAGAUACCCUGGUAGUCCUAGCCGUAAACGAUGAGCACUAGGUGUUGGUCCUUCGGGAUCAGUGCCGCAGCUAACGCAUUAAGUGCUCCACCUGGGGACUACGGUCGCUAGGCUAAAACUCAAAGGAAUUGACGGGGACCCGCACAAGCGGUGGAACAUGUGGUUUAAUUCGAUGCUACGCGAAGAACCUCACCAGGGUUUGACAUGCAGGCAGUAGAGAACUGAAAGGGGAUCGACUCGUUAAGUCCGAGAACCUGCACAGGUGCUGCAUGGCUGUCGUCAGCUCUGUCGUGAGAUGUUGGGUUAAGUCCCGCGACGAGCGCAACCAUUGCCCUAUGUUGCCACCCCAGCUCUUCUGGGAAACCAGAAUCUGGGCGCACUCUUAGGGGACUGCCUGGGAUAACCAGGAGGAAGGUGGAGAUGACGUCAAGUCAGUACGGCCUUUAUGCCCUGGGCUACACACGUGUUACAAUGGACGGUACAAAGGGUUGCCAACCCGCGAGGGGGAGCUAAUCUCAAAAAACCGUCCUCAGUUCGGAUAGGAGUCUGCAAUUCGACUCCUUGAAGCCGGAAUCGCUAGUAAUGGGAAAUCAGCUCGUUCCCAUGAAUACGUUCCCGGGUCUUGUACACACCGCCCGUCAAGCGAUGAAAGCAGGGAGUACCCGAAGUCCUGUGU
RNAcentral lists this ribosomal RNA (1261 nucleotides) under metagenome. Its description in RNAcentral is "bacterial SSU rRNA". It matches the Rfam family "Bacterial small subunit ribosomal RNA", at positions 208 to 1434 of the family's 1533-position model. The record is from RNAcentral.